GGCUGGUAUGAGUAUGUGGUGUUUAUAACUAAUAGAUCACAGCCAGUUACAGAUUCCUUUGUUCCUUCUCCACUCCCACUGUCUCACUUGACUAGUCUUUA
This 101-nucleotide Y RNA is filed under the name Microcebus murinus (gray mouse lemur). Its description in RNAcentral is "Y RNA (ENSMICG00000041670.1)". It matches the Rfam family "Y RNA". Rfam says of the family: Y RNAs are components of the Ro ribonucleoprotein particle (Ro RNP), in association with Ro60 and La proteins. The Y RNAs and Ro60 and La proteins are well conserved, but the function of the Ro RNP is not known. The record is from Rfam by way of RNAcentral. Lineage: Eukaryota; Metazoa; Chordata; Mammalia; Primates; Cheirogaleidae.